Pseudophryne corroboree (corroboree frog) is the source of this 3460-nucleotide long non-coding RNA. RefSeq lists it as uncharacterized. The record is from RefSeq and is a predicted model, not a curated record. Lineage: Eukaryota; Metazoa; Chordata; Amphibia; Anura; Myobatrachidae. The transcript has 2 exons.
CUGCAGUGACUACUGUACUUGACUGCAGUACUGCCAGGAGCCACUAGAUGCCCCCAUAUCCAUGGAGCCAUCUCAUCACCUACCAGGACUGAGGAACAAUAGAGAGACUGCCCGGGAGGUUGUGUCUAUCAGAGGAACUAAGUGUGGAUAAAAAUGUGUACACAAUAAUGGCAACACAACCUCCUGGUUGAGGUCUCCAGGGAGCUCCAUAGCUGCCAAGCACAGCAAUCCGACAGUGGCAUCACAGUUCAAGGGACCUGACUGCGUAAAGAUGAGGAGCCGGAGAAUGCAAGUAGAAGAUAAUAGUAGUCCCUUGCAGUGUCCAGAAGAUGCCAUACACCACCUCUGUGGCACUCUAAUCCAAGAUGGGGACUUCAUUUGCAUCGGUGGGAAACAGACCAUGUCAGGUUAAACAGAGCACACACAGAGAGCAGCAUCCAUAAAAUCACUCAUGCUGCUGCUACUCCAACAGGAACAGAAAAGAUGUUACCAGGCCACAGGAAUCCAUGCAAAAGAACCUGGCAAUGGAGCAGCAGACUCUACUUGUCUAUGUCCAAAGCUCUUCUACACACUACUGUCAUAGACAGACCUAGCUGAAGUAUCAAAUGUAUCUAAAGCAGCACCACACAGAAAGUCUAUUCCUCUUUAUACGAUUUCCAGACUUUUUCAGCAAUGGCCAUAUUGAGUGUAUCUCCUGGGAAUCGGAGUACCUUGGCCACUGGAGCCAUACUUAUACGUGGUUUCCAUGUAGUUCCUGAAUAAAUAUGAACCGCGGGAUGUAAUGCAGUGCGAGUUUGCAGAAAUGUGCAAGUUUACCGCUAAACUCACACAUUUUGCAAACUUGACCAAUGUAAUAGGGUGCGAGAACAUGCAAACUCACAUGUUCCCUGUAAUCCCAAAACUUGCAAUGUUUUGCCACUGCAAUCAUACAACUCGGGCAAUGUAAUAGGAUGCAAGUUUACAACUCGCACCUAAAACAUUACCAAAAACUUCCCAAAAAAUAAAUCAGCUUCCGGCUGGAGAGUUUGACAGAAACAUGCACAGAUCAGUGAGAUCUGUGCAUGCUUCCGUCUGUAAAAGUAAAGAAAUAGUUAAAAGCCGGUACUUGUUGCUUUUUUACUAUUUAUUUACCUACUCACUGAUCUGUGCAUGCUUCUGUCAAACUCGCACAAAGUAAUGAAACACCACAUUACACUGUGCGAGUUUUCAAUCGCACAAGGUAAUAGCCUUGGCAGGCUACUACAUUGGGUGAGUUUGGGGACAAAUUUGCACCUUCUUAUGUGCGAGAAGAAGGUGCGGUUUUGUCCUGCAAAAAAAACCUUGCAAUACAUUACAUCGUAGCCGGAAGUUUUUGUAUAAAUAAUUAUUUAUUUAUGAGGACUCUUAAGGGGGGUACACAUGGGAGAUUUCUCCCAGAGAUGUUUGCUGGGCGAUCUAUCACAGACCGCUCAGCACACAUCUCCCCUUCCCGCUCAAUACAGCGUGAUGUGUGCUGAGCAAAGGGGGAGGAGGGAGAGGGGGGGGACACACCGCUCAUUUCACCCAGCAGUGAAAUUAGUGAUCUCAAUAGAUUGGGCAUGCAUGCAUGCCCAAUCUAGAGUUGCGACGAUAGCGACGUGCAGGGUUGCGCAUCGCUGUCGCCGGCACCCCUACGCACGGAGCGAUGUGUUCUUAAUUUCUAAGCAAUCUAGUCAGAUUGCUUAGAAAUUAAGUGAGCACUGCUCCGUGUGUACCCCCCUUUAGAGAAGCCCUGUCUUCAAUAGGACUUGUAGUUCUAUCAGUAAUGCUUGCAAUAGCUCCAUCUACUUUAUGGACCAGGCCUCAUUUCAGUAAUAUUUCAUCAUUAAAGGACACAUAUAUUCAAGUGUUUUAACAUUAGACUGAUGCUUUUCCACUUAUACCCAUUACUUAUGGAUUAACCCCUUCAGUGGUGACUAUUUUUACUAUGUCACACCUCUCAGGGUUGGUUUUUAAAUGAACUACCUGCUCGUUGCCAGGGGUUUCAUGCGCUGGGCGUCAUGCUCGUUGCUAGGGGUUCCAUGCUCUGGGAGCCAUGCUCGCUGCUAAGGGUAAUGCUCGUUGCCAAGGUUAAUGCUCUUUGCCAAGGUGGUGUACUUUUGCUGGCGGGCACUAGCCCACCAGCACUUAAAUCAUCUCCCCCUCGUACUCCGAUCGGGUGGCGGAGUGUUGCAGAAUGACGCAGUUGCAUCUUGACGUCACAAUGCAACUGCGUCAUUCAGAACUCCGCCCCCCAAGCGGAGUACGAGGGAGGAGGAGCAGUGGCAUGCCUCGGAUAUCUUCCGGGAUAGCCAGUCUCCCCAGUGCAGCUGGCCCUGGAGAUUUUCCAGGCAUGUCACUUAAGGGGUCAAAUCUUUUACAUCUUGAUGUGUCAGGCAUGGCUGUAACUAGGGUGGUGCAGACGGUGCUCGCACACAGCGCAUUUGCCCUGCGGUUGCAACCGGCUGUAUCCACCCACAAUUGACCUUUGUAAGUGAAACCUGCCAUGUACUGCCCGCUGAGUACUGUUGCGCCCGGUUCGCUCUCUGCUGGGUGCACCACUACCAUUACAGUACUGCAGCCCCCUGCCCAUGUGCUCUGCCCCCUCCCUCGUCUGCUGCACUGUCUCUUGAGACUGGGACAGACAUCAUGAUUUCUCUCCCAGUCCAUUCCUACAGUGUCCUGUGCUGAUACGCCACACAGUAAGCAGCCAACAGGCCUCAAGAGAAGAGGCCACAACUGUCAGAGGAAGAGGAAUGAGGUUAGCAGCACUACAGCUCCACGGGUGGGAGGGGAUGAAGAUGAGGAGAUGGAGGAAAUGAUGAUAAAUGAGGAGGAAUGAUGAUGAUGAUGAGGAGGAAUGAAGAGGAGGGGCUUUACUGUAGCAUAGUGUUUAUAAGGGGCUCUACUGUUACGCAAUGUGUAUAAAAGAGACUCUGGUGUGUGGUGUAAUGUGAAUAAACACAAUUGUGUGGUCAGGUGUAAAGUGUAUAAGGGGCUCUAUUGUGUGGUGUAAUGAGAAUAAUGGACACUACUAUGCUGUGUAAUGUGAAUUGGUACUAUUCUUGGCCAUGCCCCUUUCCCACAAAGUGACAGGCCUAUAUUCUUGGUGAUAUCCCUUUUCAAAUAUGGGGGGAAUAUGGGGGGAGGGACCAAUUUUCUUUCUGGCACAGGGCACCAAAAUGUCUACUUACAGCACUGGUGCCAGGCCGAUAUGGAGGAUGUUCUUGUUUCAUCCAUCCCUAAGGACUUAUUUAUGUUCUUCAGCAAGUUUAUCUUCUAGUUCUUCUGCAAAUUCCUUAGAUUAAUUAUUAGAGGAUCUUCUAAUGUUUCCGAAGAACCCCACUGUGAUUGGUUUCCAAUCUUACACUGUACAUUCACACUAGUCUCCUCCGUUGACGCCUUGCUUUGUACAAUUGUUCUCAUUACUGUUUCAUCCAAUUUAUAAAUGCUUUACACUGUU